This 69-nucleotide transfer RNA is filed under the name Protomyctophum arcticum (Arctic telescope). RNAcentral describes it as "tRNA-Asp". It matches the Rfam family "tRNA". From Rfam's summary of the family: Transfer RNA (tRNA) molecules are approximately 80 nucleotides in length. Their secondary structure includes four short double-helical elements and three loops (D, anti-codon, and T loops). Lineage: Eukaryota; Metazoa; Chordata; Actinopteri; Myctophiformes; Myctophidae. The record is from RNAcentral.
AAGAUACUAGUAAAGCAUCAACACUGCCUUGUCAAGGCAGAGUCGUGGGUGAAACCCCCACGUAUCUUA